UUGAAAGGGAAACGAUUGAAGUCAGUCGUACCUAUGGGUAAUCAGCCUUUUGGGUGUGAUUUUGUGGAGCGUGAGGAGUUAAACGCCUUCAUGCCUGCAUAUUCGUGCACUUUGGGUGUACUUGCCCGUGUGUAAGUUAACAUCAAUUUUGGUGGUCAUAAAAUGGCUGGAGGAAUGUAGCUUCGAUCUUGCAUUGAAGUGUUAUAGCCUUCGGUAGAUGUGACGAUCGGGAUUGAGGAUUGCAACGGAUACCCUUCGGGGCUACCUGUCUGAUCUCUGAUUGUUGCUCUGGUGCCGAAAGCUUGCUUACGGUUAUCAAAGUCGAUUGUCAAUAGGUUAGAACGGGUUAAAUUCGUUAAGGAUGUUGACGUA
This 372-nucleotide ribosomal RNA is filed under the name uncultured Glomeromycotina. RNAcentral's name for it is "LSU rRNA". Lineage: Eukaryota; Fungi; Glomeromycota. The record is from RNAcentral.